Molecule: ribosomal RNA, 253 nt
Filed under: uncultured bacterium
Lineage: Bacteria
Description: partial 16S ribosomal RNA
Rfam family: Bacterial small subunit ribosomal RNA
Source: RNAcentral
UACGGAGGGUGCAAGCGUUAAUCGGAAUUACUGGGCGUAAAGGGUGCGUAGGCGGUUGUUUAAGUCUGUUGUGAAAUCCCCCGGCUCAACCGGGGAAUGGCUGGGCAUACUGGCGAUCUUGAGCAGUCUAGGGGCAGAUGGAACAGACGGUGGAGCGGUGAAAUGCGUAGAUAUCGUCUGGAACGCCAAAGGUGAAAACAGUCUGCUGGGGACUUGCUGACGCUGAGACACGAAAGCCAGGGGAGCGAACGGG